AAAUGCAAGACACUAACCUCAAUGAUCUAGAAUUGCGAAAACUAAAAAAUUGACCAAGGUCUUCCUCUUGCUUAUGGGGGGCAGCAAUAUCGAUGACACUGUGUACGGUGAGGUGGAUACAUUGGGAAAAAGGGUAUGGGGCUGUUUGAGACUCAUCCACCAACUCUGCUCCACAAACUACACCCUGCAACAUUAAGCGGCUACACAAAAAAUUAGAGUUUGUGAAUUAACUCUUUACAUGCUCUCACAAAUCCAUAGUUUUUUCCCCGAACUGAGCGCUU
RNAcentral lists this long non-coding RNA (281 nucleotides) under Sorghum bicolor (sorghum). RNAcentral describes it as "long non-coding RNA (SBIC_LNC010704)". The record is from RNAcentral. Lineage: Eukaryota; Viridiplantae; Streptophyta; Magnoliopsida; Poales; Poaceae.